RNAcentral lists this long non-coding RNA (2639 nucleotides) under Mus musculus (house mouse). RNAcentral describes it as "small nucleolar RNA host gene 15". The stretch from base 602 to 734 matches the Rfam family "Small nucleolar RNA SNORA9". Lineage: Eukaryota; Metazoa; Chordata; Mammalia; Rodentia; Muridae. The record is from RNAcentral.
GACCGUAACUUUAAGCACACGUGAGCGUCCUCAGCUGGCAGCCAUGGCUGGCGGGUCCUUCCUAGCAUGUGCUGCGGCCCUCACCUUAUCUUCCGUCAUCAGGGCACAGGCGCCGUGCAGGGCUAUUCCGAGUCCAGGUAGAGAUGGCUGAGCUCGGUGGCAGGAGAUCAGCCUGCGGUGGAGCAGGGACGUUUGCCCUGGGGAGACACGUGCCACCGGGUGAGUUAGGCCUGUUUCUGGGGGAUUCCUUUCCAACCCCAGCUAGUUCCGCCCAAGCAAGCAGAGUCUUCCCUCAAGAGAUUUUUUUUUCCUUUUACGAGAGAACGUUCGGAGGGGCUAGAACUGGGUGAUACGCACUGGCUGCGCUGAAUCUGUCUUUUCUCCCCUCCUAGGUGGACAUCGAGGCCCUGUGGGUGGCCCUACAGCGUGGAAGGGAUGACCGAGCUUUGGGACAUGUCCUGGUAAGUCAGUUGUGGAAGCUCGGUGGCCGGUGAAGCCAAACUCCGUAUCUUGAAUUCAUUUUCAGGACUAAUUCUCUCCCCUAGACUUCUGGGGACUGGGAGACUGCAGUAUGGGUCGUGCAGGAUUGGAGUGAUAUACUUAGCAAGCCUCCAGCGUGCUUGGGUCUGCAGUGACCCUGUGCAUUCCUACAGUGCUUGCCAGAACAAUUUUGAAGUGGUUUGAGGCCUUGCCCUGCCCUCUCCAGAGCAAGGUUAUAGAAAUUUCAGACAAUAUGGCAGACACCUGCCACGUGGAUAAAUUACAAGCCGGUAAGAUUUGCAAUGCUGCACUUUGGGUUUUUUGUUUUGUUUAACUGUGUGGGAUAGUUCUGCACAUGGUGCAGAGGCAAAUAAGUCAUUUCUUGUUGGUUUUGUUUUGAGGCAAGGUUUCUCUGUAGUUCUUGCUGUCCUGGAACUCAAAACAGAUCCACUCACCUCUGCCUCCUGAGUGCUGGGAUUAAAGGUGUGUAAGGCUACACCCAGCUGAAUAUUUUUCUGUGCUCCAGAGUUAGUACAAAGUAGUAAAUCCUUAAAACAGUUACAAAAUACAGCAGGAGUACCAGAGUUGGGUCUCCGGUGUUGAAGUAAAACCCCAGGUGUGGUGACACGUGGUUUUGGUUCCAUUUGGGCUCUAGGCCUUAUUUUUCUUUUUUUUUUUUUCUUUUCUCGAGACAAGGUUUCUCUGUGUAGCCCUGGCUGUCCUGGAACUCACUUUGUAGACCAGGCUGGCCUGGAACUCAGAAAUCCAUCUGCCUCUACCUCCCGAGUGCUGGGAUUAAAGACGUGUGCCACCACACCGGGCCUUAGGCCUGGUUCUUAAAAGGCAGAGAGCCUGCAGAUGGUAGAAAUCUGGCUGCUGUGCCAAUACCUAAGGAAAGCCUCCCGGCAAAAGGAAGGAAUCCCAGGUACUGGGAUUAAGGGUGUGUGUUACCACACCAGGCCCUCAUUUCAAAUCUUUAUGUUGAAAGGGAAUAAAACUGUAAUUCAUGUAAUGUAUGUUAAAUAGCCCAAAGAGUUGUUUCUGAGCUUUGAAACCUGGGGCUGAGAACAUAGCAGAACAGACCAGGACAUGCCCGGGCAAGCCCAUCGCCUCCCUAGCUCCCACCCCUCUGACCUAAGUUAAAUGUUACAGGCUGCUGAUGUGAAACCGCGCCAAUUCCUCCCCCAGCCCCACUCCUUUUCUAUAAAAACCCCUAGCUUCCAAGCCUCGUGGUCGAAUCCACUGUCUCCUGUUAUGUGAGAUACGUUUCGACCCGGAGCUCCGCCAUUAAAAAAACCUCUUGUUGUUACAUCAAGGUGUUGUGUUCUAUUCGUGAUUCUUGGGUGCACGCCGAAUCGGGAGCUGAGUGGGGGUUUCCCCACUGAGUUCUUUCAAUGUCACAUAUGUGAGUGCACUGUCACUGACUUCAGACACACCAGAAGAGGGCAUCAGAUCCCAUUACAGAUGGUUCUGAGCCACCACGUGGUUGCUGAGUUCAGGACUUCUAGAAGAGCAGUCAGUGAUAACUGCUGAGCUAUCUAUCUCCAGCCCCUUAACUCAAACCUUUAAUUGUACUUCUUUUGUGUGCGUGUCCAUGGGUAGGUAUGGGCCAAUGGAUGGCAUAGAACAUCAAGGUCAGAGAACAGCUUGCAGGAAUUGGUUUUCUCCUUUGAUAGCAGGCAUCUCUAGUCCUACAGCCUGUGUUCUUUUCUGGAGUGCCAGUCAUGACUGAGUUGUGUUGAAGGGAAAUGUCCUGUUCUUGGUAUGGAAGCUGUGGGGUAAAUGGUACGUGGACAGUUGCCAGCUUAGUGUUAAUGCAUUUGGCUCACUGACUCUUCCUUCGGUCUAGGAAACCUAAGGUGCUGGAGCUAGAAGAGACUUGAUAGCACUUCAGAGACCAUCAGGCUGUUUCGUGGAACUUCCACCAAAGAGAUGCAGAAAUGGAGACUCCAGAGCUGGAGAGAGAGAGAUGACUCAACUGUUAAAAGCACUGACUGCUCUUCCAGAGGUCCUGAGUUCAAUUCCCAGCAACCACAUGGUGGCUCACAAUUAUCUGUAAUGGGGAUCCGAUGCCCUCCUCUGGUGUGUCUGAAGACAGUGAUGGUGUACUGACAUAUAUGAAGUAAAUAAGUAAAUUAAUAAAUAGAAAUGAGACUCCA